This 159-nucleotide ribosomal RNA is filed under the name Trichoderma harzianum. RNAcentral describes it as "5.8S ribosomal RNA". It matches the Rfam family "5.8S ribosomal RNA". From Rfam's summary of the family: 5.8S ribosomal RNA (5.8S rRNA) is a component of the large subunit of the eukaryotic ribosome. It is transcribed by RNA polymerase I as part of the 45S precursor that also contains 18S and 28S rRNA. Functionally, it is thought that 5.8S rRNA may be involved in ribosome translocation. The record is from RNAcentral. Lineage: Eukaryota; Fungi; Ascomycota; Sordariomycetes; Hypocreales; Hypocreaceae.
AAACUUUCAACAACGGGAUCUCUUGGUUCUGGCAUCGAUGAAGAACGCAGCGAAAUGCGAUAAGUAAUGUGAAUUGCAGAAUUCAGUGAAUCAUCGAAUCUUUGAACGCACAUUGGGCCCGCCAGUAUUCUGGCGGGCAUGCCUGUCCGAGCGUCAUUU